RNAcentral lists this unclassified non-coding RNA (237 nucleotides) under Hevea brasiliensis (rubber tree). The record is from RNAcentral. Lineage: Eukaryota; Viridiplantae; Streptophyta; Magnoliopsida; Malpighiales; Euphorbiaceae.
GGUGGAUGUAUUUCCCAGGCAAAGUAUAAGGUUAGAACAAUUAUAAUUAUGGUAUUGUUCUUUACUGUAACUACUCCAAGUGGAAUAGCUAUUGGAAUGAUGAUAUCAAAAGGUUACAAUGAGCAAAGCUCAACAGCACUUAUUGUACAGGGAGUUCUUAAUUCAGCAUCAGCUGGGAUUCUUAUUUACAUGGCACUCGUGGAUCUACUUGCAACUGAUUUUAUGAACCCUAAAUUA